This 455-nucleotide ribosomal RNA is filed under the name uncultured bacterium. RNAcentral's name for it is "bacterial SSU rRNA". It matches the Rfam family "Bacterial small subunit ribosomal RNA", at positions 339 to 796 of the family's 1533-position model. The record is from RNAcentral.
CUACGGGAGGCAGCAGUGGGGAAUCUUGCGCAAUGGCCGAAAGGCUGACGCAGCGACGCCGCGUGGAGGAUGACGCCCUUCGGGGUGUAAACUCCUGUUGCCCGGGACGAAUACCUGUUUCGACAGGGGUGACGGUACCGGGUGAGGAAGCACCGGCUAACUCUGUGCCAGCAGCCGCGGUAAUACAGAGGGUGCGAGCGUUGUCCGGAAUCACUGGGCGUAAAGGGCGCGUAGGUGGCGCGGUAAGCGUGUGGUGAAAGUCCGGGGCUCAACCCCGGAUCGGCCAUGCGAACUGCCGCGCUGGAGCACGGUAGAGGCACAUGGAAUUCCGGGUGUAGCGGUGGAAUGCGUAGAGAUCCGGAAGAACACCGGUGGCGAAGGCGGUGUGCUGGGCCGUUGCUGACACUGAGGCGCGACAGCGUGGGGAGCAAACAGGAUUAGAUACCUGGUAGUCC